AAAGUACUCCAUCCGUCCAAAAAUACUUGUCGGAGGAAUGGAUGUAUCUGGACGCAAUUUAGUUCUAGAUAAACCCAUUUUCAUCCAUUUCUCCGACAAGUAUUUCCGGACGGAGGGAGUACUCG
Triticum urartu is the source of this 125-nucleotide non-coding RNA. The record is from Rfam. Lineage: Eukaryota; Viridiplantae; Streptophyta; Magnoliopsida; Poales; Poaceae.